UUUGCAUCUCAUCCUGUUGGCCAAAAUAUGACAGUCGAGCGAAUGGAUUAAGAGCUUGCUCUUAUGAAGUUAGCGGCGGACGGGUGAGUAACACGUGGGUAACCUGCCCAUAAGACUGGGAUAACUCCGGGAAACCGGGGCUAAUACCGGAUAACAUUUUGAACCGCAUGGUUCGAAAUUGAAAGGCGGCUUCGGCUGUCACUUAUGGAUGGACCCGCGUCGCAUUAGCUAGUUGGUGAGGUAACGGCUCACCAAGGCAACGAUGCGUAGCCGACCUGAGAGGGUGAUCGGCCACACUGGGACUGAGACACGGCCCAGACUCCUACGGGAGGCAGCAGUAGGGAAUCUUCCGCAAUGGACGAAAGUCUGACGGAGCAACGCCGCGUGAGUGAUGAAGGCUUUCGGGUCGUAAAACUCUGUUGUUAGGGAAGAACAAGUGCUAGUUGAAUAAGCUGGCACCUUGACGGUACCUAACCAGAAAGCCACGGCUAACUACGUGCCAGCAGCCGCGGUAAUACGUAGGUGGCAAGCGUUAUCCGGAAUUAUUGGGCGUAAAGCGCGCGCAGGUGGUUUCUUAAGUCUGAUGUGAAAGCCCACGGCUCAACCGUGGAGGGUCAUUGGAAAC
Molecule: ribosomal RNA, 625 nt
Filed under: Bacillus sp. enrichment culture clone PM2.5b
Lineage: Bacteria; Bacillati; Bacillota; Bacilli; Caryophanales; Bacillaceae
Description: bacterial SSU rRNA
Rfam family: Bacterial small subunit ribosomal RNA
Source: RNAcentral